CGCAGCCUGAUCCAGCAUGCCGCGUGUGUGAGAAGGCCUUCGGGUUGUAAAGCACUUUUGUCCGGAAAGAAAACCUCGUGGUUAAUACCCGUGGGGGAUGACGGUACCGGAAGAAUAAGCACCGGCUAACUACGUGCCAGCAGCCGCGGUAAUACGUAGGGUGCAAGCGUUAAUCGGAAUUACUGGGCGUAAAGCGUGCGCAGGCGGUUCGCUAAGACAGAUGUGAAAUCCCCGGGCUUAACCUGGGAACUGCAUUUGUGACUGGCGGGCUAGAGUAUGGCAGAGGGGGGUAGAAUUCCACGUGUAGCAGUGAAAUGCGUAGAGAUGUGGAGGAAUACCGAUGGCGAAGGCAGCCCCCUGGGCCAAUACUGACGCUCAUGCACGAAAGCGUGGGGAGCAAACA
RNAcentral lists this ribosomal RNA (403 nucleotides) under Burkholderia sp. 3CB3I2. RNAcentral's name for it is "bacterial SSU rRNA". It matches the Rfam family "Bacterial small subunit ribosomal RNA", at positions 376 to 774 of the family's 1533-position model. The record is from RNAcentral. Lineage: Bacteria; Pseudomonadati; Pseudomonadota; Betaproteobacteria; Burkholderiales; Burkholderiaceae.